GGGUUGUUAGCUCAGUUGGUUUAGAGCGCAUGCUUGACAGGCAUGAGGCCAGCAGUUCGAGUCUGCUACAACCCA
This 75-nucleotide transfer RNA is filed under the name Bacteroidetes bacterium ADurb.Bin035. RNAcentral's name for it is "tRNA-Val". It matches the Rfam family "tRNA". Rfam says of the family: Transfer RNA (tRNA) molecules are approximately 80 nucleotides in length. Their secondary structure includes four short double-helical elements and three loops (D, anti-codon, and T loops). Further hydrogen bonds mediate the characteristic L-shaped molecular structure. tRNAs have two regions of fundamental functional importance: the anti-codon, which is responsible for specific mRNA codon recognition, and the 3' end, to which the tRNAs corresponding amino acid is attached (by aminoacyl-tRNA synthetases). tRNAs cope with the degeneracy of the genetic code in two manners: having more than one tRNA (with a specific anti-codon) for a particular amino acid; and 'wobble' base-pairing, i.e. permitting non-standard base-pairing at the 3rd anti-codon position. The record is from RNAcentral. RNAcentral also lists the same sequence under 1 other name. Lineage: Bacteria; Pseudomonadati; Bacteroidota.